This 593-nucleotide ribosomal RNA is filed under the name Pichia kluyveri. RNAcentral describes it as "LSU rRNA". It matches the Rfam family "Eukaryotic large subunit ribosomal RNA", at positions 1 to 604 of the family's 3401-position model. The record is from RNAcentral. Lineage: Eukaryota; Fungi; Ascomycota; Pichiomycetes; Pichiales; Pichiaceae.
UCGACCUCAGAUCAGGUAGGAAUACCCGCUGAACUUAAGCAUAUCAAUAAGCGGAGGAAAAGAAACCAACAGGGAUUGCCUCAGUAGCGGCGAGUGAAGCGGCAAGAGCUCAGAUUUGAAAUCUCACCUAGUGUGCGAGUUGUAAAUUGCAGGUUGGAGUCUCGGGUUAGACGUGUGUGCAAGUCCCUUGGAACAGGGYGCCACUGAGGGUGAGAGCCCCGUAKCGUGCAUGUCGACACCUGUGAGGCCCUUCUGACGAGUCGAGUUGUUUGGGAAUGCAGCUCUAAGUGGGUGGUAAAUUCCAUCUAAGGCUAAAUAUUGGCGAGAGACCGAUAGCGAACAAGUACUGUGAAGGAAAGAUGAAAAGCACUUUGAAAAGAGAGUGAAACAGCACGUGAAAUUGUUGAAAGGGAAGGGUAUUGGGCUCGACAUGGGAUUUACGCAUCGUUGCCUCUCGUGGGCGGCGCUCUGGGUUUUUCCUGGGCCAGCAUCGGUUUUCGUUGCAGGAYAAGGACAAUUGGAAUGUGGCUCCUCGGAGUGUUAUAGCCUUUUGUAGAUGCUGCGUAUGGGGACCGAGGGCUGCGGCGGACUCG